This 360-nucleotide ribosomal RNA is filed under the name Triticum aestivum (bread wheat). RNAcentral's name for it is "partial small subunit ribosomal RNA". Lineage: Eukaryota; Viridiplantae; Streptophyta; Magnoliopsida; Poales; Poaceae. The record is from RNAcentral.
AUGAGCGAUGUGUUCAGCUAUGGGAUCAUGAUGCUAGAGGUCUUCACAGGGAAAAGACCCACUGACCCGCUGUUCUAUGAGGAGCUCAGCUUGCGGCAAUGGGUUACUGAAGCAUUUCCAACCAGGCUUAUAGAUGUUGUCGACAACGAGGUUCUAUCACACGGAAUCAAGAGUGAUUGCCAUGAUGGCAAUGACAGCACAUCGAGAGAGCAGUCUAUCAUUCUCAACACAUGCCUUGCAUCUGUAAUAGAGUUCAGUUUACAGUGCUCAUCAACGAUAUCUGAUGAAAGAACCGCAAUGGACAAGGUGGUAGUGAAGCUGAACAAGGUAAAGGUAGAUUACUGCUUGCAAAUGAGGUAG